RNAcentral lists this ribosomal RNA (800 nucleotides) under uncultured marine microorganism. RNAcentral describes it as "bacterial SSU rRNA". It matches the Rfam family "Bacterial small subunit ribosomal RNA", at positions 8 to 853 of the family's 1533-position model. The record is from RNAcentral.
AGAGUUUGAUCAUGGCUCAGGAUGAACGCUGGCGGCGUGCUUAACACAUGCAAGUCGAACGAACCUUCGGGUUAGUGGCGGACGGGUGAGUAACGCGUGAGAAUCUGCCCUCAGGAGGGGGACAACAGCUGGAAACGGCUGCUAAUACCCCAUAUGCCGCGAGGUGAAAUGAAUUUCGCCUGANGAUGAGCUCGCGUCUGAUUAGCUAGUUGGUGUAGGUAAUGGCUCACCAAGGCAUCGAUAAGUAGCUGGUCUGANAGGAUGAUCAGCCACACUGGGACUGANACACGGCCCANACUCCUACGGGAGGCAGCAGUGGGGAAUUUUCCGCAAUGGGCGAAAGCCUGACGGANCAACGCCGCGUGAGGGAUGAAGGCCUCUGGGCUGUAAACCUCUUUUGUCAAGGAAGAAGAUCUGACGGUACUUGAUGAAUAAGCCACGGCUAAUUCCGUGCCAGCAGCCGCGGUAAUACGGGAAUGGCAAGCGUUAUCCGGAAUUAUUGGGCGUAAAGCGUCCGCAGGCGGCCCUUCAAGUCUGCUGUUAAAAAGUGGAGCUUAACUCCAUCAUGGCAGUGGAAACUGUUGGGCUUGAGUGUGGUAGGGGCAGAGGGAAUUCCCGGUGUAGCGGUGAAAUGCGUAGAUAUCGGGAAGAACACCAGUGGCGAAGGCGCUCUGCUGGGCCAUCACUGACGCUCAUGGACGAAAGCCAGGGGAGCGAAAGGGAUUAGAUACCCCUGUAGUCCUGGCCGUAAACGAUGAACACUANGUGUCGGGGGAAUCGACCCCCUCGGUGUCGUANCC